This 481-nucleotide ribosomal RNA is filed under the name uncultured bacterium. RNAcentral describes it as "bacterial SSU rRNA". It matches the Rfam family "Bacterial small subunit ribosomal RNA", at positions 28 to 526 of the family's 1533-position model. The record is from RNAcentral.
GAUGAACGCUGACAGAAUGCUUAACACAUGCAAGUCUACUUGAUUCUCCUUCGGGAGAUGAUGGUGGCGGACGGGUGAGUAACGCGUAAACAAUCUGCCCUUCAGUCUGGGAUAACAGUUGGAAACGACUGCUAAUACCGGAUAUUAUGAAAUUUCCGCAUGGAGGUCUCAUGAAAGCUAUAUGCGCUGGAGGAGGAGUUUGCGUUCCAUUAGCUAGUUGGUGAGGUAACGGCUCACCAAGGCGACGAUGGAUAGCCGGCCUGAGAGGGUGAUCGGCCACAAGGGGACUGAGACACGGCCCUUACUCCUACGGGAGGCAGCAGUGGGGAAUAUUGGACAAUGGACCGAAAGUCUGAUCCAGCAAUUCUGUGUGCACGAUGAAGGUCUUCGGAUUGUAAAGUGCUUUCAGUUGGGAAGAAGAAAGUGACGGUACCAACAGAAGAAGCGACGGCUAAAUAUGUGCCAGCAGCCGCAGUAACAC